This 354-nucleotide long non-coding RNA is filed under the name Capsella rubella. RNAcentral's name for it is "long non-coding RNA (CRUB_LNC002017)". Lineage: Eukaryota; Viridiplantae; Streptophyta; Magnoliopsida; Brassicales; Brassicaceae. The record is from RNAcentral.
UCGGAUCAGACUGUCCCUUCUUACCAAUAAAACUGUGCAGACGAUUGUUUAUCACUCUACACUGAACCCUCCCGAAGGUAUGAGCACCUGCAUGUACAUUAUUAUGAUCCUUAAUUAAGAUAUAUCGUAACAAAGUAUACUACUCAAGUAUUUGAUCUUUAUACUCUAAAAUUACAAUCACAUUUCUGAGGUGUCCAAUAUGAAAAAUACAUAUAUAGUAAAACUCGGAAGUACAUUACCAGAUAAAGCGACGAGAUCUGUAGUGUCAAGAUUAUGUACGGAGAAUUUGGAAGUAAGAAUAUGGAGGGAAUCAGAUCCUAGUGGAAGUGUAGCCACCGCGUCCGCACUGAUAGC